UUUUUCCUCGGUUAAAACUGCCAUCUCCUCUCCAGCUCCCCCAGACCUCCCAUCCUCUCAGUCACGAGGCCAGACAAGUAUAAAACUGGCUCCUGCCACAUGGAAGGAAACUUGCUCUCCCCAGGAAGGGUCUGGAAGGGUCAUUUAGAGCCUUAGCUCCAACAACAAGCUGACUUAGCAAAAGGAAGCAAUGCCAACAUUGAAACUAACCACCCAGAAAGAUGAACGAGUAUCAACCAAAAACACGUUAGCAAAAAUUUCAGGAACAGGCAUUAAAAAGGAGAAGAGCCAAAGACUACCAGGAACAGAGUUUCAGUUGGAGAAGAUGAGAAAGUUCUGGAGAAGGAUGGUGGGGAUGGCUGCACAACAGCGUGAAUGUACUUAAUGCCACAGAACUUUACGUGAAAUGGUUAAAAUGGAAAAUUUUAUGUUAUGAAAACAAUUUUUG
This is a long non-coding RNA of Felis catus (domestic cat), 448 nucleotides long. RefSeq lists it as uncharacterized. The record is from RefSeq and is a predicted model, not a curated record. NCBI's taxonomy places the organism in Eukaryota, Metazoa, Chordata, Mammalia, Carnivora, Felidae. The transcript has 3 exons.